CGCGCUGCUGGUGCUGUGGCGGGCGCGGGCGCGGUGCUGGAGCGAGGCCACGCCGUUCGACGCGGCGCUGUGCGC
This 75-nucleotide transfer RNA is filed under the name Streptomyces alanosinicus. RNAcentral's name for it is "tRNA-Ser". Lineage: Bacteria; Bacillati; Actinomycetota; Actinomycetes; Kitasatosporales; Streptomycetaceae. The record is from RNAcentral.